This 181-nucleotide non-coding RNA is filed under the name Candidatus Desulfosporosinus infrequens. Lineage: Bacteria; Bacillati; Bacillota; Clostridia; Eubacteriales; Desulfitobacteriaceae. The record is from RNAcentral.
AGAAAACUUAAGAUUACAGGUGCCUCAGUUAAGAGGAGAAUAAGGGAAGUCGGUGUAAGUCCGGCGCGGUCCCGCCACUGUAAACGGGGAGCAAGAAGUUUAGCCACGGGGUAGUUCCCGGAAGGUACUUCAGCGUGUUGAUCCGUAAGCCAGGAGACCUGCCUGUAGUUUGCUAAAAGCC